Non-coding RNA from Oryctolagus cuniculus (rabbit), 2809 nucleotides. The record is from RefSeq and is a predicted model, not a curated record. NCBI's taxonomy places the organism in Eukaryota, Metazoa, Chordata, Mammalia, Lagomorpha, Leporidae.
UCUCUUUGAUCACUUUGCUUUUUGUUUUUUGAGCUUUUGGUCACUUGUGUUGAGUAUUAUGUUUGCUUGAUAGCAAUUUCUUUGCGCUCACAAAUCAUAAAAUACAUAAGUGGGAGUGGGAGGACAAAGAGUUCCUGCAUGAAUUAUGAGAUUUGCUAAAGGAAGUUUAAGUUUGAAUUUUUUAUUUGUUUCUAAGUUCUAAUUUCUAUUUUUUUUUUUUUUUGCAGUGGAUACCUCUAUGUUAGAUUCUUUUUUCUAAAGAAAAAUGAUGCUGAAAGAAAACUAGGAAAUAUACCAAGGAAUUAAGAUCAUUGAACAUGAAAAAUGCAACAUAUCCUAGAGGUUUUGGUAAUAUAUUCAUUUCCUGCAGUACUUUGAUUAGGGACACAUCGACAAGGAGUGAUAUGGGAUAUCUUCCUUCACCAAGAUAGCUUCAUGAAGCCUCAAGAUUCCAUCAGGAACAGUUAGAGCUACCUGAUGACACAGCCACAAGUACCCUCUCUGAAACAGAGGAAGCCUUCCCCAGACACUGAAUCUGCCUGCACCUUGAUAUUAGAUUUCCCAGACUUCAGAAAUAUAAGAAAUAAAAUUCCGUUGCUCAUAAAUUACCCAUUCUAAGAUAUUUUGUUCUAGUAUCUGAUGCAUACUAGCUCGUGAGUGAAAAUACAUGUACCUGUAUGGCAUUCCUUUCAAAGAGGAAACUGGUGCAAACUGCUUUACUUCAUACUGAAAGAUCAAGAAAAUGAUUUGAUUUAUAUCCUUGUAGCAUCUAUCUUCAAGAGGUAGGAGCAUUCAGUCAUUUCUGGCUACAAUAACCUAUCCUUAGUUUGUUACAUUUUGAAGGCAUCUCAGUGAUGGACAUAUAAAACAUUCCUUACUAAGAGAGGUAAAACAUUCCUGUGUCAGAAAUCAAGGCCACAGAUACAGAUCAAACAGAAUAUGCAACUAACAGCACUGAAAAAAAACCUGACUUUUUAAAAUUAAGAUUUAUUUAUUUAUUUGAGAAGCAGAGUUUACAAAGAUAGAGAGGGAGAGACAGAGAGAGAGGUCUCCCACCCUGCUGGUUCACUCUUCAAAUGGCUGCAAUGGCUGGAGCUGAGCUGACCGGAAUCCAGGAGCCAGGAGCUUACUCUGGAUCUCCCACAUGAGUGAAGGGACCCAAGGAGUUUGGCCAUCUUCCACUGCUUUCCCAGGCCAUAAGCAGAGAGCUGGAUCAGAAGAGCAGCAGCCGGGACAGAAACCAGUGCCCAUACGGGAUGCUAGCCCCACAGGAGGAGGCUUAAUCUACUAUGCCAUAGCACCAGCCCCUGUUAUCCCUUUUAGAAUGUGCAUUAUUGCUGUUUUUUUAGUAUCGUAUAAGCAUAUAUUUUACUUCCAUUUUAAGUAUUUUCCCAAUGAAUCUAUAGCUUUAUCUGAAUUCAACAGUUCAUCUCUUUAUUCCUUUGCAUAUCAUACAGGAGUAAUCUUCAAAAAAUCAUGGACAGUGCAUACUAUGGAAAAAAACUAUGUAUGCAUCUCAAAAAUGUUUGCACACAAAUAAUUAAAAUAUUUUUGUCUUUAAAUUUACCAUCAUCUUUAUUAUGCAGAUGGUUUUCAUUUACAUUUUUUAUCCUUAAAUUUUACUCCUCGGUUUUUUCUCACUUUUCCUCCCUUUGAUUAUAAAACAACUUUCCUCCCAUUUUAAAAUUUCUUUUACAGUAACAUUUUUUAUCUUCUUACUUCUUUACAGAUGAAUUCUCUUCCUUUAUUCUUAGAACUUAAAUAAAGGCUCUAUUCUACUACUUUACUAUCAUAAUUUGUAGGAUUUUUUUCAAAAUAUUUUGUCAGAAUGAUGUUUUACUGAAUAAGUAAUUGAGGCAAUAGCAUAAAAUUAUGCUGAGCUUUAAUAUCUACCAGUAAAAUUGCUCUCUGCAUCCCCCUUUUUCAAGGACAUCUAAUUAUUUUCUCUUCUUUCUCUUCCUGAAAUGCAUCAGGGAAGAGAAUUUGAUGUUUACUGCUGGCCUACGUGGGUUCUGACAAAAGGAUUUUCAUUUUGCUUAAGAAGCAGAAUCACAUUCAUUGUGUCAGCUGGAGUCAUAAUUACAUCCUUGCUCUUAAAGACAAUCAUACUCGAGGCUUAUAGUAAAGGACCUGGAGAGCACUUUAUCUCCUCUUGUGUUUGUGAGAGAAGCCCAUGUGUCAUUUACUAUCAUUUUCCAUCUUUACAACCAUGAUCUUGUUAGAAAAGCAUGUGAUCAGAUCACUUUGUGGUUGGCAAUAUGUUGCUAGAAUCUUUGUUUUCAAGAAUUGGAGAAGGGAACAAGAAACAGAGAGAAGAUACGAGCCUUGGAUUGUUUUCAAGUAGUAGGAAAGUAAAAUGGUAGAGUACCAGGCAGCUCACAGAAUUGAGAUACAUGAAUUUGGUAUUAACAAUUGCAUUGUUGUCAAUACUAGCUCUCAGAUCUGUUUGGCCAAAUGAGCAGGACCAAGUUUACCCUGUAGGCUAGUGUUUGAGCAAGAGGAGUUAUCAACACUAGGAAAACUGGAAAGUCAAUUUAAAAUUUAGUCAGAAGUUGGAGCUAGAAUUGUGAUAAGAGUGGUUGAACCAUUGCUUUCCACACUGCCUCCACUUCUGAUCCAGAAUUCCAGCUAAUGAGUCUCCGAAGGCAGCAGAAGAUGGCCCAAAAUUUGGGCACCUGCCACCUCGUUGAAGUUCCAGGCUUCAGAUUCAGCCUGGCUCAGCACCAGUAUUUGGUAAAUGAACCUGCAAAUAGAAGAUUCUCUCUCUCCCCCUCUCUCUCCCUCGCCUGCCUUUCUCCCUCUCUCUCUC